GAUGAACGCUGGCGGCGUCCCUAAUACAUGCAAGUCGAGCGAACAGACGAGGAGCUUGCUCCUCUGACGUUAGCGGCGGACGGGUGAGUAACACGUGGAUAACCUACCUAUAAGACUGGGAUAACUUCGGGAAACCGGAGCUAAUACCGGAUAACAUGUUGAACCGCAUGGUUCAACAGUGAAAGACGGUCUUGCUGUCACUUAUAGAUGGAUCCGCGCCGCAUUAGCUAGUUGGUAAGGUAACGGCUUACCAAGGCAACGAUGCGUAGCCGACCUGAGAGGGUGAUCGGCCACACUGGAACUGAGACACGGUCCAGACUCCUACGGGAGGCAGCAGUAGGGAAUCUUCCGCAAUGGGCGAAAGCCUGACGGAGCAACGCCGCGUGAGUGAAGAAGGUCUUCGGAUCGUAAAACUCUGUUAUUAGGGAAGAACAAAUGUGUAAGUAACUAUGCACGUCUUGACGGUACCUAAUCAGAAAGCCACGGCUAACUACGUG
RNAcentral lists this ribosomal RNA (497 nucleotides) under uncultured bacterium. RNAcentral describes it as "partial 16S ribosomal RNA". It matches the Rfam family "Bacterial small subunit ribosomal RNA", at positions 28 to 507 of the family's 1533-position model. The record is from RNAcentral.